UGCCCUAGCCGCCACUGCUUCUUCUGUCCUCUGGCACUCCAACUCCAUGUUCUUCCCCACCUCACGACUACGGCCAUGUUGGCGAAUCCACCCCAUCACAGGACCUCAAUCCCACAACCCUCGCCUCAGAUCUCUACUUCCUCACGGGCAAGCUUCCUCCCCUCGCCUCAGAUCUUGACUUCCUCACCUGAAGGCUUGCUCCACUCGCCUCGUCAUCUCGGCGUAUAGCUGCAUAGCCUCGCCUUCGACUUCGAGAGGGCUUUCAAGAUCAACGGCAAGCUAAACAUCGGUCUGAAGCCCUCCCUUUUGUCACUAUUUUUUCAUGGUGGUUUUAGGGUUUCUGUGUGUCGACACUCAGGUAACAUCAGGCGACGAGCUGCUCAAUUAGCGCCGAAGAAGGAGGCCAUCACAAGGGAGCACACCGUCAUCCUGCACAUGAGCCUGCAUCAUCAACUCCACUGACCCGCAUCCCGCACCUGUGGCUGGCCGAUGGGGUACGAUACCUUGGUUUUUGAAUUAGCAUGUGGUGGUGGUGCUGUUACCGGCUAUUCCAAUUGGUCUCCUAGGACGGUGGUGGCUAGAUCUUAGAUUCAGGCAUAGAUGGAAUAACAGGUGUAGGCGGAGGCACCCGAGAUGGAGCGGCAACAGAUUGAGAAGCAACAAAUGGAGCAACAGCUGAUGGAGCAUCAGAUACAACAUGAGAUGGAAGUGGAGACACGCACAAGCAGCACAAGGAAGAAAAAUCAGCUCCACAUCAUGGGGCCAGUUUGCCGAUCUCUACAUCUUCUGAAGCUCGGCAAGUGCCAUAGGAAGAGUGAGUCUGUUGCAACACUAUCCUUUUUUAUUUCUGCAGCAAUAUCUGAACCAAAUAUAUGGGUUCAUUUAAUUUGUGAACUUAGUGUUUGAAGUACAUUUUUUCUGAACUGAAUCUAUGCAGCAGCUCGGCAGAUCACAAUGUGUGGUGCUUUCUGAACUCAUGUAUCUAUGAUGCAUGUCUAUCUAUCUAUGUCAUUAAUCUAUCUAUCUAUCUAUCUAUCUAUAUAUGAUGCCUAUAUGUCUGAAUCUUUGUGGUCAUGGUUUCUGGCUGUUUGUUCUCAUAGUAGCUGAAUCUUUGAUCUCGUAGUAUCAGAAAUUUUGUGCUCACUGUGAUGUUGCAGGUUCCAAUGACAAGAACUGCAUUGCAAGUUCUCUUCUAGCCAGGGACAGUUUGAACAUUAAAUUUAGCACAACUACUCAUACUUAACAUCAGUCAAAUCACUUGAACCCCUGUUACAAAGACUCUCUCUUUCUGUGGUGAUCUUGUCCACUGCAUCUUUCAACACAAAAUUAAAUCAUGUACAGUGCACAACACCCUGCAAAAUUGAGUAGUGGCAUUUAGUUUUAAUUUCCUUCAGUCCACAAGAAUAUUUCAACUACAUCUAUGUGUUUUGAUGUAUGGAUUCAGUUUUCCUGGUCUGCUUUUUGAUCUUGACCAUCCUAUUUUCUCUUGGAGCCGACGGAGAGAGUUGGAGUGCCACGUGGAGGAACAAGAUGAGAAAGGAAAAGGAUUGGGCAUGAGUGGGCUCUUGGUGGUGGUGUCCUUUCAUUACCAGCCCUUCACACCUCAUUUUGUUGCGGUAGCAUUACUAUGUGAAGAGUACAAGGUGCAUGGUUGACUAACAGCUUCUACGGGUGGUGUGGACGUCCAAGUAGAACAGCUCCAACCGAAAGUUGGAAGAAGCAUACUUCAAGUGGAACAAAACGGAUGUUUCCUCUCGUGUGAUGUUGUUUGUUAUGUUUUGUUGGGUUGUGAAUUGAUGAAAAUUAGACUAUUGCAAGCUAUUAUAUGCCCAUUUAAUUUGUUACAAGUAUUAUCUAUUGUAAUGUGAAUAUCUUUUUGUUGGAUAGAAGAUGAGUUGAAGUGUGCCA
This is a long non-coding RNA of Hordeum vulgare subsp. vulgare (domesticated barley), 1908 nucleotides long. RefSeq lists it as uncharacterized. Lineage: Eukaryota; Viridiplantae; Streptophyta; Magnoliopsida; Poales; Poaceae. The transcript has 3 exons. The record is from RefSeq and is a predicted model, not a curated record.